Trifolium pratense (red clover) is the source of this 3135-nucleotide long non-coding RNA. RefSeq lists it as uncharacterized. The record is from RefSeq and is a predicted model, not a curated record. The transcript has 6 exons. Lineage: Eukaryota; Viridiplantae; Streptophyta; Magnoliopsida; Fabales; Fabaceae.
AAAAGACGACAGCAAAAUGGUAAUUUUUGACACAUGUCAAACACACAUACAAUCUGCACAAAUCCUAGCUGGAAGAAUUUGAAAUUUUUUGCUUCUUUUGGCCAGCAAUUUGAAUUUCCUUUCCCUCCCAUUCACCUCAUUGCUUGCUGGGCCAAAAACAACAGUCCAGUCCAUUAAGGCCCAACCAAGCCUGGUCCGAUUUGUUUAGGUCAACAAAAAAAAAAAGCAAAUGCACAAAUGCAUACAACUUCCGGUCCUUUUCAUUGUGUCACGUUGCAGAAGUUCUCUACUCCUUUUGGCAAACAAUUUUGAAAUCAAAUUUGUUCAAAAGAAAAACAGAGAAGCAAGAAGAAGACCUUCCUUGAGCUGUCCCUUUCAGUAUUGCAGAUUUACAGACUAGAAUCCAAAAACCUCAAUUAGAUUUCAAUUCUUCUCUCAUCAGCUGUCUCUCAUCCUCUCUGAUAUCUUCACCACCAUCAACACCUUCGCCGCCGUCACUUUCAUCCCCCUCCAGUGGCUUCUUCAAAUGGAAAGGUUCACAAAUCAGGGUUUGAUUGGGUAAGUUUUCUGUACUUUGAAUUUUCAAUUUUUCCCUUCUGAGUUAGGUUUGAUUUCAGUUUUUGUGAAUAUUAUAAUCUGAUUUUAGUAGUAUUUAGUUGCUUCUUCAUUUCUCACAUAGUUUUUUUUUAUGUCCGAUUCGAGACUGCUACUCAUGAAUUUGAGGAAAAAGGUAUAUCAUUCAUCAAUAUUAGUUUUUUUUUGGUAGAGAGACAUCACGUCAGUAUUAGCUUUAAAUUGAUGAAAUUGGAGGUAGAUAUUCUCUCUCCCUAAUUUUCAUGAUUUGUUUUCUGGAAUUCUGUCUUUGAAAGUAGCAAUGUUUGUAGUUUUUUUUAUUAUAUUCAUGAUUCAUGGUUUUUGUAGUUACCAAAUAUGGGAGUAAUAUUCCUUCAUUUAAUGUUAUCUUUCUCCACCAAUAACUAUUGUUAUUGUUACACUUAUACAUGAAAUAGUGAAAAGGAUGGUCUGCAUCCUCCAAAAUCUGAAGGAUUUGAUAUUUUAUUGAUCACAAAUUAGAAAAUUUAAUGCUUAUUUGUUUAUCUGUUGGAUCAGUUUGUAUGAGCACACUUUUAUUUAAUUGUGAGAUGCUCUUUUGAAUAGUUUGGAUCAAGGAAUAUUUAAUUUUAAAUCAGUUUGAAUUAUUGGAGAAUAUCGGUUCCUAUUUCUUCUCAAGUUACCCAUAUUGAUAGCAACUUCUUUUUAAUAUAAUUUCAAAUUAUCAACUAAAAGAAAGAAAGGGAUAGAAGGGAUUGAGAAUAGCAUCUUUAAUGAGAUUUAAAAUUGAACCAAUGUAUGAACAACUUUUUAAUGAGAUUUCUUAGUUGUAAUCGCAAUUCUCAAUUGGUUGUUUUUCUGCUUCAUGUUUGUAGUUGAAAGUUUAAGGUAAAGUUAAUCUUCCUUGCAAUAUGUAUUCAGUUUCAGUCCAAUUCCAAAAACCAAUCUCUAAUUAUCUAUCAUUUAUGCAUAUUUUCUCCUUUUUUGAUGUCACAGGUAGAAUCUCACAGUGGAGUUACACCCAAAGUUGAUUAGUCUAAAGAGUGUAGACAAGGUGGUGUCGAAAAAUUCUUUGCAAAACAUAUUAUGCUGAAGUUAGAAUAAUGUUGGAUGUAAUUCACAAACUAAGAGCAUGGAAAUGAAUAGCAAGAACAAAUAUAUCAAGUGAAUGUGACCUUCAUGAUGAUAUGUGGUUAACAGGUAACAUGGGUGAACUUUCUAUCUUGAUACAAUGUUAAUGAUUAUCCUACAUUGUUAUAAGCUUCCAAUUUUAACUCAUUCACCCUUUUUAGAUGCUUAACCGCAAGUGAAAUACUUGCAGGUUUCAUAUUGCACAUAUUUUGCUUGAAGGUACAAAUAGGCAUUUGCACUUGGGUUUUCAAAUCUCAUGUUAUCUAUAAUCACUUGAGUAUGUACAAUUUAUUCUAUUUUUAUUAUCUUCAUAAGCAUAAUGAUUUAUGUCUAGAUUAGGUAAAUAUAUUAUUCCAUAAAGUAUCUAUGUCACAUGUUGAAAAAUGAAACUUUUUUCUAUCUGCCUCUUUCAUCUGUGACUCAAAAUGUUGGACUACAUGAAUGUCUACUGAAAUUAGACGUGCCUAAAAUACAUUGACCAAACUGACUUAUUUUUAAUUUUGUCAACAAAGAGCUUUUUAUCAUGGGUCUACUGACAUGACAAAACUUGCUUAUGAAUUUUAAUUUGGUAUUCAUGAUAUGGAAAAUAUUAAAGUUUCAGUUUACUAUUAAUUUGAAACGGAUAUGUGAUUUAUUGGAUAGAGAAGUUCAAUUUUAAGCCCUGAAUGUAAACAUACGUGUUUACUAUGUGUUGAUAUGUCUUUUCAUAUCAGCUAUUAAUAUCCAAAUUGGAGAGAAGGUGGCUGUUAAGGUGGUAUGUGAUGUUAUCAACUCUCAUUUGGCUCCUUCAUGAAUGUAAACAUACGUGCUAUUUUUUGACACCCUCAUUGUCUAAGAUUGCAGGUUUGAGUUCAAAGGAUGGUAACUAAGAAGAUGAUGGAGCAAAAUUAACAUGUUUCCUUUGAGCACGUGUAUUAUUGUUUGUGCCGCACAAGAAGUCAACAUAAAUCCUCUUUUAUUGGAGAAGUUUAUCCAUUCUUGUGAUAGGGAUAUUCGUAAAAGCCAUUAUGCAUCUUUAGUUCUGGUUCCAGAAUAAAAAACAUAGCAAAGACAAGAAAGUGCAGAUAGUAUAUGGCUCACUACCUUUUGAUCUUGAGGCUGGUCAUAAGAUACUACCAAAUAUAAUUCCCUGGAGUUUUCCCUCAGAGUUAUCCACACUAAUCAAGAAGGAAGUUGCCAAGUCAAUGACCAUAAUAGAAAACAACUCAAACCGGGAAGGGUUAGCUAAUGAAGAGCUUUGCAUAGAAACUGAUUAUUUAGCUAUUCUUGACAGCACUUAUGUUGUUUGGCUACUUUGUUCUCAAUUUAGUUAUGUAAACAUCUUGGUGCUAAUCCGUUGAGGUGUACAAUUUUAUUUUUUUAAUUUUUAGUGCAACUUAUACAGUGGAAUAGUUGACUAGAAAAUAUUCUAUAUAAGUAUAUUUUAAGGUUGUUUUAAGUCUUUUCCUAAAA